RNAcentral lists this ribosomal RNA (260 nucleotides) under uncultured bacterium. RNAcentral describes it as "partial 16S ribosomal RNA". It matches the Rfam family "Bacterial small subunit ribosomal RNA", at positions 524 to 783 of the family's 1533-position model. The record is from RNAcentral.
UACGGAGGGUGCGAACGUUAAUCGGAAUCACUGGGCGUAAAGCGCGCGUAGGCGGUCUGUUAAGUGGGAUGUGAAAUCCCCGGGCUUAACCUGGGAAUUGCAUUUCAAACUGGCCGACUAGAGUACGGUAGAGGGAGGUAGAAUUUCCUGUGUAGCGGUGAAAUGCGUAGAUAUAGGAAGGAAUACCAGUGGCGAAGGCGGCCUCCUGGAUCGAUACUGACGCUGAGGCGCGAAAGCGUGGGGAGCAACAGGGAUUAAGA